UCAGGCCUAACACAUGCAAGUCGAACGAACUCUUCGGAGUUAGUGGCGGACGGGUGAGUAACACGUGGGAACGUGCCUUUAGGUUCGGAAUAACUCAGGGAAACUUGUGCUAAUACCGAAUGUGCCCUUCGGGGGAAAGAUUUAUCGCCUUUAGAGCGGCCCGCGUCUGAUUAGCUAGUUGGUGAGGUAAAGGCUCACCAAGGCGACGAUCAGUAGCUGGUCUGAGAGGAUGAUCAGCCACAUUGGGACUGAGACACGGCCCAAACUCCUACGGGAGGCAGCAGUGGGGAAUCUUGCGCAAUGGGCGAAAGCCUGACGCAGCCAUGCCGCGUGAAUGAUGAAGGUCUUAGGAUUGUAAAAUUCUUUCACCGGGGACGAUAAUGACGGUACCCGGAGAAGAAGCCCCGGCUAACUUCGUGCCAGCAGCCGCGGUAAUACGAAGGGGGCUAGCGUUGCUCGGAAUUACUGGGCGUAAAGGGAGCGUAGGCGGACAUUUAAGUCAGGGGUGAAAUCCCGGGGCUCAACCUCGGAAUUGCCUUUGAUACUGGGUGUCUUGAGUAUGAGAGAGGUGUGUGGAACUCCGAGUGUAGAGGUGAAAUUCGUAGAUAUUCGGAAGAACACCACUGGCGAAUGCGACACACUGGCUCAUU
RNAcentral lists this ribosomal RNA (650 nucleotides) under uncultured bacterium. RNAcentral's name for it is "bacterial SSU rRNA". It matches the Rfam family "Bacterial small subunit ribosomal RNA", at positions 42 to 738 of the family's 1533-position model. The record is from RNAcentral.